This 565-nucleotide unclassified non-coding RNA is filed under the name Hevea brasiliensis (rubber tree). Lineage: Eukaryota; Viridiplantae; Streptophyta; Magnoliopsida; Malpighiales; Euphorbiaceae. The record is from RNAcentral.
AGUCAAUGAAAUGUAUUACAAAUUAUUUUCAAAACUCUAUUUCUGAAUAAGAUUUAGGAUGCACAAGACAAUCAAAAGACCCCAACAGAGAAUUUAGUUGUUAUUUAUAGGGCGCCAUACAAGUAAAUUAUCUUCAAAAUAACAAGUUCCAAAAAAAAAAAUGCAACAAUGGCAGCUUAUUUCCUGUUGAAAACUGCAAAAUGGAAUAGAGAUGUAUCCAACAGACUGAUGAAGAAACAGUUUUAGUAUCUGUGUUCUAACUUCUCCUUUUCCAGGAAGUUCUGCACAUACGAGUAGGUUCCGACGAGUGGACCAAGCAAGAGGGUAGCGCUGAUCCAAUUUUCAGACACUUUGUGAUGGAUCUUACCAGGAAGAUCCUUCCAUAAACCAGGCAUAAUUUUCUGUUGAAAUGGAGAUAUAGCGUAUACAACAGCCUUCAGCUUCACCGGUUGCUUCCCCAUCUUCCUUCACAGCGAAUAGUGAUUUGCUUCGAUCCUGAACAAAUCUAGGGUUUGUUGAUUUGAGAUUUGGAGAAGAAAAUGGAUUUGUUAUGUUGGUGUUUGGA